This 516-nucleotide ribosomal RNA is filed under the name uncultured bacterium. Its description in RNAcentral is "bacterial SSU rRNA". It matches the Rfam family "Bacterial small subunit ribosomal RNA", at positions 8 to 518 of the family's 1533-position model. The record is from RNAcentral.
AGGGUUCGAUUCUGGCUCAGGAUGAACGCUAGCGGCAGGCUUAACACAUGCAAGUCGAGGGGCGAGCGGGAUGUAGCAAUACAUUGCCGGCGACCGGCGGAUGGGUGCGUAACGCGUAUGCAACCUACCUAUACAGGGGAAUAACCUUCGAAAGGGAGACUAACACCCAUGGUAUUGAUUUAAGGCAUCUUAGAUUAAUUAAAUAUUUAUAGGUAUAAGAUGGGCAUGCGUAUGAUUAGCUAGUUGGUAAGGUAACGGCUUACCAAGGCGACGAUCAUUAGGGGUUCUGAGAGGAAGGUCCCCCACACUGGUACUGAGACACGGACCAGACUCCUACGGGAGGCAGCAGUGAGGAAUAUUGGUCAAUGGGCGCAAGCCUGAACCAGCCAUGCCGCGUGCAAGGAAGACGGCCUUAUGGGUUGUAAACUGCUUUUACAUAAGACUAACCGUAUAUUUGCGAAUAUACCUGAAUGUAUUAUGAGAAUAAGGAUCGGCUAACUCCGUGCCAGCAGCCGC